AAAUAAAGUGAGCGGAGGUUUCCGAAGACGCUCAAGAUGAUUUGAAGCUUAGGCGGAUAAAUGCAAGAUUUGUUGUGAACAUCCUGAAGAUAGCAACAAUUGCUUUGUUCAGCAGAGAGAGUCCUGCCAGUGCAUGGUUCAGUAACACAGGAAGCACAGCAGUGUGGCACAGUUCUGCAUCAAGGUCACAUUUUCUCAUUGAACAUUCCAUACUGUGAUUCUGUGGCACCAUUGAGAGCAAUAUCCUACCAGCAGAGCUCACAGUGGAAAAACACGUGGAAAACAGUUCCAAAGUCUAGGCAGCCAGGGGAAUUUGUGUGUCGUAUGUGUGGCAAAGUGUACAGGUAUCAGCGGAAUUUGGCAAGUCACAUCAAACAUGAAUGUGGAAAGGAACCUCAAUUUCACUGUCCAUAUUGUACAUUACGUUACACUCAGAAUGGUGCAUUAAGGAGUCACAUUAGAAGAUACCAUCAAGCAGAUUGCAACAUAAGAUGAUAGUGUACUGCUGGACGUGAUGGUUGCAAUGCCAUGGACAGAUACUGAUGUACUGCAACACACCAUUUUACUCUUUGCAAACCAAAUCUAGUAUCUUUGUCAUCUAAUUUGUGUGCCACAUUUUGUUCAGAGACUUCUUAGUACUCUCAUAUCUUCUUUCUGUGUACUCAUAAAUGUUGUGAGCAAUAAAUUAUUUUCUUGCCGUGUGGCUUAUUAGACAUCCAACAUUUUUCACAUUCAGUGCUGACAUUCACAAUUUUUUUGUUACCUGUUCUAGCCAGUGUCAAGUGAUAGAGUCUAAUCAACAUUAAUUCUGUAUUUCACUAAUUUUUCUAUUUCCAAUACAUAAUGGAUAUCUUUUGCAAGGAUGCGUCAUUUGGCUGCACCUAACUUUUAUGA
This 894-nucleotide unclassified non-coding RNA is filed under the name Schistocerca americana (American grasshopper). RNAcentral's name for it is "oocyte zinc finger protein XlCOF26-like, transcript variant X3". The record is from RNAcentral. Lineage: Eukaryota; Metazoa; Arthropoda; Insecta; Orthoptera; Acrididae.